AAACUUAAUCACUGUAAGUUAUAAUUCUGAAAAUAAUUUGGAGUAUUGUAAACAGUUAACAACUCACAAACUGUGAGAAAAGUGUUUAUAAAAGGAGAAUAACUCACAAUUCAGCAUGCAGGAUUGAGUUAACAAACUUCUUGAUUCUACUUUUCCCGAUAAUUAAGCAUGUACUUUAUUAUUCUGGAUCUUCUGAUGAUUUAAUAGUUUGUUUGAUUGUAAGGGUGUAGUUGGGAGUGUUUUUGGUAGUUUAACAGAAUAGAAUACGUAUUGGUGUAAAACCCAAAUCAAACCUUAACGGUACUUUGAAAGCAGGAACUUGCUGGCUGGAGGGCGCGAGUGGUCAUGGGUGUAGUUGGGAGUGUUUUUGGUAGUUUAACAGAAUAGAAUACGUAUUGGUGUAAAACCCAAAUCAAA
RNAcentral lists this long non-coding RNA (417 nucleotides) under Helianthus annuus (common sunflower). RNAcentral's name for it is "sRNA HanXRQr2_Chr03g0121591". The record is from RNAcentral. Lineage: Eukaryota; Viridiplantae; Streptophyta; Magnoliopsida; Asterales; Asteraceae.